Molecule: ribosomal RNA, 253 nt
Filed under: uncultured bacterium
Lineage: Bacteria
Description: partial 16S ribosomal RNA
Rfam family: Bacterial small subunit ribosomal RNA
Source: RNAcentral
GACGGAGGGUGCAAACGUUGUUCGGAAUCACUGGGCCUAAAGCGCACGUAGGCGGUGCACUAAGUCAGGUGUGAAAGCCCCCGGCUCAACCGGGGAAUGGCAUCUGAUACUGGUGUGCUCGAGGACGGUUGGGGUGAGUGGAACUCCUGGUGGAGCGGUGAAAUGCGUAGAUAUCAGGAGGAACACCGGUGGCGAAAGCGGCUCACUGGGCCGUCUCUGACGCUGAGGCUCGAAAGCGUGGGGAGCAAACAGG